RNAcentral lists this long non-coding RNA (610 nucleotides) under Triticum aestivum (bread wheat). RNAcentral's name for it is "long non-coding RNA (TAES_LNC006460)". Lineage: Eukaryota; Viridiplantae; Streptophyta; Magnoliopsida; Poales; Poaceae. The record is from RNAcentral.
AAUUACCUUACGCAUAGGUAUAUAUCGCAAAAUGUAAAUGCAAGCAUAUUGCAAAAGGUUUGUCCCUGGUGAGCACCACCAAUUACACCUCUAAUAGAACUAAAAAAUAUCACACCUCUAAUGGGUUGAAAUUCACGUCCUCCAAACAAAUAUAUUUAGACAACUGAUUAUUAGCCUUUUAAUCAAAGCUUUUAACCACCACCACCACCAAAAAACAGCCAUUGUAGUAGCUCGGUACAAACCAUUUCGACACACUAGCUAGAAUCACUUCGCCUGAAAAAUCUACCAGUAACAUCGAUUGCCUUACGCAUAGGUAUAUAUCGCACAAUGUAAAUGCAAGCAUAUUGCAAAAGGAUUGUCCCUGAUUCGCAACACCAAUUACACCUCUAAUAGAACUCAAAAAAAAUUUCACACCUCUAAUGGGUUGAAAUUCACAUCUUCCAAACAAAUAUAUUUACACAGCAUUGUAGUAGCUCCGUACAAACCAUUUCUGACACCCUACCUAGAAUCACUUCGCCUGAAAAAUCUAUCAGCGACAUCGAUUGUCUUAUACAUACCAUUAUACAUCGCAAAAUGUAAAUGCAAGUAUGCGAGCAACCUGCUUUUCUAA